This 73-nucleotide transfer RNA is filed under the name Mus musculus (house mouse). RNAcentral's name for it is "tRNA-Ser". Lineage: Eukaryota; Metazoa; Chordata; Mammalia; Rodentia; Muridae. The record is from RNAcentral.
GGAGAGAUGGCUCAGUGGUUAAGAGCACUGACUGCUCUUCCAGAGGUCCUGAGAUCAAUUCACAGCAACCGCA